This 19721-nucleotide long non-coding RNA is filed under the name Triticum aestivum (bread wheat). RNAcentral's name for it is "long non-coding RNA (TAES_LNC021507)". The record is from RNAcentral. Lineage: Eukaryota; Viridiplantae; Streptophyta; Magnoliopsida; Poales; Poaceae.
UCCUUAUGGAAAUUUAUUGCCUUUUUAAACAUUAUGCAAGUGUUGUUCUUUAUAGAUUCUCUCAAAGAUCUUCUUGGGAAUCUUAAAGACUUUAAUCUCAAUUUGUCUCGGACGAGUUUUAACUGGUAAGCCAUCUAAAUUCACGAACUUUAGUUGGUAGUAUUUUAAAUUUAUUUGAAAGUUAUUUGUUAUAGUUUACAAAUUUACAGUAGGUUUGAUUCACCUUACCAAAUUCACCCCAAUACUGCAUGCAUGUGUUAAAACAAUACUAUUGCUUACAUUGGUGUAGGUUGAUUUUUGUUGUAAACCUAUUAAAAAAAUACUCUAUUGUUUUCUGUUUUGCGGGUCAACAAUUCUCAUCGAUGUCUAUCUUAUAAACAACCUUGCUCUUAAUGAAUAUAAUCAUUAAUUUUCUUCCAAUGAAUAAUUUUUUUAUUAAAUUUCUACCUUAUUAAUGAUGCUUUUAAUGAGUAUAUAUAUAUGUAUACGCUUUUUCAUUAGUAAAUACAUAUGCUUUUAAUGCGUAAAUACAUAUGUUUUAAUGAGUAUAUAUGCAUUUCAUGAGUAUAUAAAUACAGAUAGUUCCUUAUUUUUUUGCACAUUGCUCUCUCUCCCUUAAACAAACUCUGUCUCUCACCCUCCCUUCCUCCCUCUCUAUAUCUAUCUAUCUAUUUCCAUCGCGAAGAGAAAGGUGCAAAUUUCUUACUCCGAGUAGAUCCAUCCUUAUGGAAAUUUAUUGCCUUUUUAAACAUUAUGGAAUUGUUGUUCUUUAUAGAUUCUCUCAAAGAUCUUCUUGGAAUUUUAAAGACUUCAAUCUCAAUUUGUCUUGGACGAGUUUUAACUGGUAAGCCAUCUAAAUUUACGAACUUUAGUUGGGAGUAUUUUAAAUUUAUUUGAAAGUUAUUUGUUAUAGUUUACAAAUUUUACAGUAGGUUUGAUUCACCUUACCAAAUUCACCCCAAUACUGCAUGCAUGUGAUAAAACAAUACUAUUGCUUACAUUGUGUAGGUUGAUUUUUGUUGUAAACCUAUUAAAAAAUACUCUAUUGUUUUCUGUUUUGCGGGUCAACAAUUCUCAUGGAUGUCUAUCUUAUAAACAACCUUGCUCUUAAUGAAUAUAAUCAUUAAUUUUCUUCCAAGGAAUAUUUUUUAUUAAAUUUCUACCAUAUUAGUGAUGCGUUUAAUGAGUAUAUAUAUGUAUAUGCUUUUUCAUUAGUAAAUACAUAUGCUUUAAUGCGUAAAUACAUAUGUUUAAUGAGUAUAUAUGCAUUUCAUGAGUAUAUAUAUACAUAUAGUGCCUUAUUUUCUUGCACAUUGCUCUCUCUCCCUUACACAAACUCUGUCUCUCACCCUCCCUUCCUCCCUCUCUAUAUCUAUUUAUCUAUUUCCAUCGCGAAGAGAAAGGUGCAAAUUUCUUACUUCGAGUAGAUCCGUCCUUAUGGAAAUUUAUUGCCUUUUUAAACAUUAUGCAAGUGUUGUUCUUUAUAGAUUCUCUCAAAGAUCUUCUUGGGAAUUUUAAAGACUUCAAUCUAGAUUUGUCUCGGACGAGUUUUAACUGGUAAGCCAUCUAAAUUCAUGAACUUUAGUUGGGAGUAUUUUAAAUUUAUUUGAAAGUUAUUUGUUAUAGCUUACAAAUUUUACAGUAGUUUUGAUUCACCUUACCAAAUUCACCCCAAUACUUCAUGCAGGUGUUAAAACAAUACUAUUGCUUACAUUGUUUAGGUUGAUUUUUAUUGUAAACCUAUUAAGCAAUACUCUAUUGUUUUCUGUUUUGCGGGUCAACAAUUCUCAUGGAUGUCUAUCUUAUAAACAACCUUGCUCUUAAUGAAUAUAAUCAUUAAUUUUCUUCCAAGGAAUAUGUUUUUAUUAAAUUUAUACCUUAUUAAUGAUGCUUUUAAUGAGUAUAUAUAUGUAUAUGCUUUUUCAUUAGUAAAUACAUUUGCUUUGAAUGCGUAAAUACAUAUGUUUUAAUGAGUAUAUAUGCAUUUCAUGAGUAUAUAUAUACAGAUAGUUCCUUAUUUUCUUGCACAUUGCUCUCUCUCCCUUACACAAACUUUGUCUCUCACCCUCCCUUCCUUCCUCUCUAUAUCUAUCUAUCUAUUUCCAUCACGAAGAGAAAGGUGCAAAUUUCUUACCCCGAGUAGAUCCGUCCUUAUGGAAAUUUAUUGCCUUUUUAAACAUUAUGCAAGUGUUGUUCUUUAUAGAUUCUCUCAAAGAUCUUCUUGGGAAUUUUAAAGACUUCAAUCUCGAUUUGUCUCGGACGAGUUUUAACUGGUAAGCCAUCUCAAUUCACGAUCUUUAGUUGGGAGUAUUUUAAAUUUAUUUGAAAGUUAUUUGUUAUAGUUUACAAAUUAUAUAGUAGGUUUGAUUCACCUUACCAAAUUCACCCCAAUACUGCAUGCAUGUGUUAAAACAAUAAUAUUUCUUACAUUGUGUAGGUUGAUUUUUGUUGUAAACCUAUUAAAAAAUACUCUAUUAUUUUCUGUUUUGCGGGUCAAAAAUUCUCAUGGAUGUCUAUCUUAUAAACAACCUCGCUCUUAAUGAAUAUAAUCAUUAAUUUUCUUCCAAGGAAUAUUUUUUAUUAAAUUUCUACCUUAUUAAUGAUGCUUUUAAUGAGUAUAUAUAUAUAUAUAUAUAUAUGUAUAUGCUUUUUCAUUAGUAAAUACAUAUGCUUUUAAUGCGUACGUACAUAUGUUUUAAUGAGUAUAUAUGCAUUUCAUGAGUAUAUAUAUAUACAAAUAGUUCCUUAUUUUCUUGCACAUUGCUCUCUCUCCCUUACACAAAUUAUGUCUCUCACCCUCCCUUCCACCCUCUCUAUAUCUAUCUAUCUAUUUCCUUCGCGAAGAGAAAGGUGCAAAUUUCUUACUCCGAGUAGAUCCGUCCUUAUGGAAAUUUAUUGCCUUUUUAAACAUUAUGCAAGUGUUGUUCUUUAUAGAUUCUCUCAAAGAUCUUCUUGGGAAUCUUAAAUACUUCAAUCUCAAUUUGUCUCGGACGAGUUUUAACUGGUAAGCCAUCUAAAUUCACGAACUUUAGUUGGUAGUAUUUUAAAUUUAUUUGAAAGUUAUUUGUUAUAGUUUACAAAUUUUACAGUAGGUUUGAUUCACCUUACCAAAUUCACCCCAAUACUGCAUGCAUGUGUUUAAACAAUACUAUUACUUACAUUGUGUAGGUUGAUUUUUGUUGUAAACCUAUUAAAAAAUACUCUAUUGUUUUCUGCUUUGCGGGUCAACAAUUCUCAUCGAUGUCUAUCUUAUAAACAACCUUGCUCUUAAUGAAUAUAAUCAUUAAUUUUCUUUCAAUGAAUAUUUUUUUUAUUAAAUUUCUACCUUAUUAAUGAUGCUUUUAAUGAGUAUAUAUAUAUAUAUGUAUAUGCUUUUUCAUUAGUAAAUACAUAUGCUUUUAAUGCGUAAAUACAUAUGUUUUAAUGAGAAUAUAUGCAUUUCAUGAGUACAUAAAUACAGAUAGUUCCUUAUUUUUUUGCACAUUGGUCUCUCUCCCUUACACAAACUCUGUCUCUCACCCUCCCUUCCUCCCUCUCUAUAUCUAUCUAUCUAUUUCCAUCGCGAAGAGAAAGGUGCAAAUUUCUUACUCCGAGUAGAUCCAUCCUUAUGGAAAUUUAUUGCCUUUUUAAACAUUAUGGAAUUGUUGUUCUUUAUAGAUUCUCUCAAAGAUCUUCUUGGAAUUUUAAAGACUUCAAUCUCAAUUUGUCUUGGACGAGUUUUAACUGGUAAGCCAUCUAAAUUCACGAACUUUAGUUGGGAGUAUUUUAAAUUUAUUUGAACGUUAUUUGUUAUAGUUUACAAAUUUUACAGUAGGUUUGAUUCACCUUACCAAAUUCACCCCAAUACUGCAUGCAUGUGUUAAAACAAUAAUAUUGCUCACAUUGUGUAGGUUGAUUUUUGUUGUAAACCUAUUAAAAUAUACUCUAUUGUUUUCUGUUUUGCGGGUCAACAAUUCUCAUGGAUGGUUUCUAGUGUUUUGGUUGCAUUAUUUGUGCUAGAUCUUUAGAUGAUCUGAACUUAAUAGGAUACAAUCACAAAAAGAUAUUCCUAAAAAGAGAGUGGUCCGCACAAUCCAUUUACAAUAUCUAUCGAAUUGAGCAUUUAUAGUUCUUGAAUUUGGAUAUCUCAUAAAUUAAUACCUCCAAUAUAUAAAUUUCCCCGGUGAGAUUGUUAUCAUUAAUUUCUACUUAAAUAUUUCAAUAAUUAUAUGUCCAUCUUAUGAAUAAUAUUUUUAAAUGGAGUAUAAUAUUUAACAUUAUUCCAAAGAUUAUUUUAGUAAUUAAAUGUCUACCUAGUUUACCAUGAUUUUAAAGAGAAUAUUCCAUAAAUAUUUACUUCCUUAUUUACUUGAGGUAUCGACCAUACUAGCCCUUGGAUCAUGCAAAAUUCAUAGUUCAUGAGAAUCUAGGCGCACAAAAAGAAGUGUUUAGUUUAAUAUUCUAUAGUCCCAAAUGAAAUACCAAAACAAAAGUGAAGGGGCCAUUUGCUAGGGUAGCAAGAAAACAUUCACAUAUCGAUGCAUCAAAUAUACCAUAUGAUUUACAAUGGUGCCAUCAUUCCUGCAGGGGCCCAGUUCAUUCACGGGGAACACUUUUGACGAAGAAACUGCCAUAACUUGGGUACGUGGCUCUUAUCAUUGUAAUAUAUAGUACAACAUGCAAGUGUUAAGACAAUGAUAUUAUUUACAAUGUGUCAAUAGUUUUCCAUUUGUAAAUAAGUGGACCAAUUUGAAUACAUACCCGUCCUCAUGGCCGAGUUCCGGUGUUUUCAAUGAAUAGUUGAUGGUAGAUCUUAGAUGAUUGAAUUUAUUAAGACAUAUCCAUAAUAAAAUGCAUAAUGAGGAUGGUCCCCAAUAAUUCCUUUAAAAGAUCAAUGGAAAUUAAUAUAUAAGGAGAUGUCAUGAAGUGGUAUAUAAUUCAGGUGGAACAAUAAGAUGGAGGUCUUAUAUCAUGGUUAAUCUUCUUCACAAUUUGAAGUUACCAUAUUUUUCUAUUUGGAAGUUGAGAUGUUAUAUUUCUAGUGAUGAAAUGUCUUACAGAAAUUCAUGAACAUGUCCUUUAGUUCUUGCUUUUUCUCUAUUGAUGUGUAUAUUUUAAUUUUUUCAUUUCCACUUUGGGGCAUGAAACUAAGAUUUGGCCAUGUGUUUAGUUACAUGUAUCCCUAGCACUAUAUUCACAUAUUUUGUUAAGUACCUAAACUUAAGAUGGGUGCCUCGUGCACUUGGUGCGGGAUUGUAGUUGACUUAUUCCUAGUUGUUAUACUAUCUAACUGUAGGUGAAACUAUCAGAACCUUUGGCAGGGUGGCGAACGUGGCCGGAAGUAGCAGAUCGAAAAUCACAUGAGGAAGUUACGCAGGUUCGGGCCUCCCUUGAGGGGUAACACCCUACAUCGUAUUUUUAUUUUUGUAUUUAUGGUUGAGUGCCUCGUGCGAGGGUUAUAAUGGGGGGAUGAUCUGUGACUACUAAGAGUAUGUUUCUACAAGAGUAGAUGGCCUCGCUAACCCUCAUGACCGGUCUUAUACAGAUGACGAGGGCUAGGGUAUACAUGAAUCUAACCGACCUCCAACCGCCACCUUGCUUGGCUUGCACUCCUAGAUGAUAUUGAGCUCCUUCCAGGCCUCCAGGAUCCCUCCUUUCGCCAGGCUCCUUUUAGGCCAUGUGGACCCAUGGUGGGCUGCUGCCGAGCUUCCCUUAGGCAAGCCACCUCCAGUGAAUCGUAGUGUCUGUAGCUAUCGAGCUUGUUUAUAGUUGGAAUGUCUUAGUAUGUUGGGGGACGAGAACCCACAUGGGCUCCUAAUGUUUACAGAGAGCUAGCGUUUGCACAACUUUAGGCAUUCUUGGGGCUCUGCGGAUGCGCGACCUUCCAGUCCAAUCUUCAAAAUACUUGGGCUUAUCGUAAUGUCUCUAGGCAUGGUGAUCUCACAGGGCCUUCGGCCCAUAGCCUCCAGGUUCACAACCUUCGUCGCACCCGACUUGAAGUAGCGAGUCCCUUGUGUCCAUGGCCUGCCAGAACAUCCCUGCAUCAGAGAAGAGUCAAAAUUGGAGCACUCAGUUGGGCCGCUGAAGAGGCUCUCGACCACAGGCCAAGGCCCGAACUGUGUGACAGUGGUAGUUUUGCACCCGUCUCCCAAGCCAACGCUCCACGUGUUGCUUCUUGUUUUGGUGCAAUCUUCAGGAGUCAUGCCGAUGGUUCACAUCCUUACAUGGCAUUACAAACCGAUGGAGGUAAGCACAAAUAGCACAUCUCCUUCCUCCAAUUCUUAUAAUAUUCAUCCUCCAUUGCGGCGGAGAAGCACAGACCCAGGGUGGUCAGGAGUGUUUUGUCAUGGCUUGCCAUGUAGUCAUUGGACAGGGUCCCGGAGCCUUAGCAUUGGAAACUGGCCAUCCAUACUUCCUUCAUCCGCCGUAGCCUCUCCCUGCCUCGACACAGCUUUGUCCGAAGGAUUUUGACCUACUAUGAGUGCCAACUCCAUCAUCUCACCCCAAACAGGGUUUUACAUCUUGCCUCUUUCAUUACCCUAUGUGAGUGCUUUCUUGGAACAACCCUACAUUUUGGCCUUCCGGCGCUAUUUCUUUGAAGUGACACCUCACAAGGAGAAUGGCUAGACUCCAGAUUGUGGCAGAGCGGUCAUUCAACCUUGUCCAGGCUCUAGAUACUUCAAGCUACCAAUGUCACAGAUGAUAGAGUCAUGGCAAUGAGAUUGGUUUUAUGCUUUAGACCUCCCAAAGAUACAUAAGGAGAUGAGAUUGCAUGUUUUCACAAAUGAACCGCCACAAGAGCUACAAUCUUAGAGCUCGACGAACAUGCUCUCCAUGAAAAACACUAAGUUGGUGGAGGUGGUUUACCAGCUCAAGGACGUAGGGCUUACAGGUAUGUAGAUCUUGAAGACGUGGAUAGAGAGGAACAUCUUGCCACUGGCAUGAAAGGAGCACCCAAUGUAUGAGUACAGAGUUCGGAAUGACCCCUGUCGUCCCAACAGCCAGAAGGUCUCACAAUCUGAGUUGAAGUCGCACAUGUACUUUGUGAUCCACGUGCCCAUGGAUGAGAUCUUCCCAGAGGUCACGACAGAACCCUUUCAUUGGGGUAACUCUCCAAGCAAGGUCAGCGCAAUUUUCUUGCUUUACUACUUGACCACUUUCGGAUUGAUUGAUAUGUUACUUUUGCCUCAUGCCCAAACUUUCAAAGCCUAUUUUUUGGAGCCCCAUAGCCUUGCCGUGAGGUAUCAGCAGUGUUAGCAUGUAUGUCGCAACAGCAAUCUGCGCAGGCCAUGACACAUUUGAAGAAACCGCGAGAGGGACCGAAGAGGAUGAACACUUUGUCGUUGGCCACAAGAAACGAGGCGCCCCAAAGGGAGUCAUCAAUGGUCCAGUUGACCCAGACUAUCAUCCCAGUAGAGGUUCAAAAGUAGGCCGUGGUGACCCAUCCGGCGCAGCCUGUCAACACUCUAGAGCCUCGAUCGGAAUUCACAGUGGGCCCAUUGUUGCAUCAGAGACGUGCCCGUCGAUGUCGCCUUCUCAUGCAAUGAAUUCAUAGGCGUAGAUCCCUUUUUGUUCUCCCAUUUUGCGAAAAUGCCCCAACAUCGGAGCACAGAAACCGCCACCUGAGUAUGCACUUGUCAUUAUUUUAAGUCAUCUUCUCUUGUCCGGUGUCGUGAUGCUAAAGCAUUGUUGCUGGUCACCUCGACCAAAGAAUAAAUUGGCGAACCGGGAGCCUCCACAUGUGUUCAUUCCCUUGGUUAUUUUCCUUUUGUUUUGGGAGGUGGUCUCCCUUGUCAUGAUCCCCUUGGAGUUUGUUAACGGUCUUGCACAGGAGACUGCGGUCUCUACGGGGCAUAGAGAGCGCUCGCCUAUCAGGAGGCAUGAAAAGAGUCCGCCUAUGAUGGCGGUCACAAGUUCUCCUUCAGAGCUACCAAUGAAGCCAUGGGUCUAAGCACUAUGGAGGGGGGGGGGUCAUCAGAGCUAGAGACCCGUCCUGCAGGCAUACCAUCCUCCAGCCCUUCCUUCAUGCCUGAAGAGGAAGUUGACGGUCAUGUCAUUCUUGAGGAGAUGGAUGUCACUGUACGAGAGAGCAGCAAGCGCGCCCGAGCCUUAGGAAAUGCUUUCAAGAGACUUGGGCAAAGAUCUAUCCUAGAAUGGAGGUAAUACCUUAGAGUAGCGCUUCCUAUUCCCAUUAGACCCCGAUCCUUGUAGGUCUUGUUUGACCGUUAGCCCCAGACAUGAAUUUUUGACUUGUUUCGGUUCCGUAGGUACUGCGUCAGUGCAAGGACCGGCUUAAAGCUGAGGCCGAAGAGCUUUGACGGUUACUGGUUGAAGGGAGGUCCCAAACCGCUAUCUUGGAGGACUCCAUUGAUGAUCCUUCUAUCAGUAGAGUUGCCUAUGCUACCUUAUUAUGUGAUAAGCUUGCAGAUGACAUCAAUAUAUUCUAUUGUAUGAUGUAGCAGAAAAACAGUAUUAUGAGGCCUAGCAUGGAAAGAAGCGAAUGAUAUGCUCUAUCACUAAUGCCGAUCUCAAAGAGGCCCGUUUGUGUCUGGAGUAAUUUCCCAUGCCAAGUCUAUAGUGGAGUCCAAAAAAUAUAUUUCCAACCUCUGUGACCUUCUCAAAGAAAAGUGAUGUGCGGAGGGUGUGCUCCAGUAGUGCGUCAUGACGCUCAGAACCGACCUGGCUACUACAAAGGCUUGAAAGUGCACAUUAGUCAUUGCGGAAGCUGCUCCCUUACAUGAGGUCGGUCGACAAGCUUCCCUGGAGUUGGAGGAGCCGCAUGUAAGUGCGUGCUAAAAAUCUUGUUGAAGCUAUGAAAUGUUUGUAAGUUUCCUCCUGAUCAAUUUGUCUCAAGAAUUUUUAUGUUAGGGUAUUUUUAUUCCCUUUUGCGUGCUGGAGAUGGACAUCUUCUUUGGCAAGGAGAGUUUGAGUAUGGUUGUACCCUUGUGGCAGUAGUUGGAAAAGGCCCUUAUUCGGAUACUGGGGUCAAUGUGGGACCCGUGCAUGGUAGAAGUUUGCUUGUGGGCUAUAAUGGACCUUUUGAAGGAGCCCGGAUUGUCCUCGCACUGCUUAAGGCGCACCAUCCGGGUAUUUCCAUGAUGAUCGUCGCUACUUCGUUUCCCGAGGACUGCCAAGUUUUGGAGUUCUUCGAGUAAGUGAAGGAUCCAGCUAAGAUGGUGGCGGCAAAUUGCGACCUGGAUGUAGGCAUGGAGUAGCCUGAAAAGAUAGGAUGACCUUUGUGGCCUAUGUUACACGCAUAAAAAUUCAGUUUUAUGCAUUUUUAGCGCACUUGAAUUUAAUAUUAGUGUGAAACUUGCUUUGCUCCUGACCAAGCUUAUGAUAUUGCCUAAGGUUCUUUGUCUUUAUGUUUAUGUUAGGAGCCGGGAUGACCAAGAAUAUUUCUAGUAUCCGGCUUCCCGUGGUUAUGCCCUAUGGGAGGGGACCAUCGUUAUUUUCAGUGGUUAUGUCUUACGUCGAUGCAGCCAUGUGUCGGUGACACUAGGAGGUCGGUAAUGACAUAGUAGCCCCUGGGUUCGGACAAGUAGAGGGAAUGAACGAUGCAACCUCUGUGGUGGUCGUGGAGAGGUCCGCUAUGCACAAUAUGCAACCCCUGAUCCAGGCGAGCAGAGAGUUACAUUUGCUUCCACCUCUUGGUCUAUCCCAGGAUGUUCGUUGUUGAUUUAUCAAUUGAGAUAGUAGACCAAUACGGGAGAGUAGCAAUGAUUCCUUUCUUGACCAGUUUAUUUGGAUCGAGCCAAAACAUAUACGCUAAAAAACAUGAUCGCUGUCGGUGUCAAAACCGGCGGAUCUCGGGUAAAGGGUCCUGAACUGUGCGUCUAGGAUCGAUGGUAACAGGAGGUAGGGGACACGAUGUUUACCCAGGUUCGGGCCCUCUUGAUGGAGGUAAUACCCUACGUCAUGCUUGAUUGAUAUUGAUGAUAUGAGUAUUACAAGAGUUGAUCUACCACGAGAUCGUAGAGGCUAAAACCCUAGAAGCUAGCCUAUGGUAUGAUUGUUGUAUAUAUUGUAUAUCUAUCGACUAGCCUGGCCUCGGUUUAUAUAAUGCACCGGAGGCCUAGGAUAACAAGAGUCCUAGCCGAAUACACCGGUGGGGAGAAGUCCUUGUCUUGAUCGCCAAGUCUUGUGGAAUCUUCCUUGUAUGCGGUAGCCGUCCGAACUGGCCCAUGAGUAUACGGCCACGGGGGUCCUCGGCCCAAUCUAAUAGAUCGGGAGACGCCGUGGUGAGUACCCCCUAGUCCAGGACACCGUCAGUAGCCCCCUGAACCGGUCUUCAAGUUAGGGACGCUCCUCGAUUCUUCCGAACUGUUCUUCAUCUUCGGUUACUGGUCUUGAAAACUGGUUCAACAAAUCUUCUUUAUCUUCGAUCUUGAGGAUCGCUGAAAUGCAUUCGACGAGUUUACACGUCGGGUAUCCGAGGAGCCCCUUUAAGUUUCCGGCCUUUAUCAAUACCUUGUUUAUUUUUAUGCCACACCUCGGGUUUGAAGUUGUUCCCGUGAGGCAGGGUCCUCUUGCGUCCGAGCUCCAACGCCGGACUGCAUUCGAGGUAUCUUUUGCAGCCGAGCACCAACGCCGGACCGCUUCCCAGCUCUAGCGCCGGAAUGUAUCCGAGCUCCAACGCCGGACUAUGUAUCCAAGCUCCAACGCCGGACUGUAUAUCCGAGCUCCAACACCGAAAUAUAUCCGAGCUCCAACGCCGGACUGUGUCCAGGCUCCAAUGCCAGACUAUAUCCGAGGUGUCAUAUCACCUUGGUUCAAAAAAGUUGAAGGAGUUUAGCCGAGCUUAAUGCCAGAAAUGCCCUCUAUGGAGCCAGCCACUAGCGCCCGAGCUUUAUGCCGGACUGCUUCCGAGGUGGUGCACCACCCUGACUAUGGGCCAAUUUUUUGUCAAUAUUUUUUAUUGGUGCAAUUUAUUCUCUACCGAGAUAUAUAGCCAGUAGCCCUCAAGGUGUGUAUCGGUCUAAAACCCGAGAUGCACAUGAAGGAUGACAUAAGACCGCUGAUCCCAGUAGCCGCUGAGACUCAGGUUGAUUUGCAAAAUCAGCCUGAGGAUCAAGUCCUAGCUCGGCAGAAUACUUCGGGACACAAAAACGGCGUGCUCAGUCCUCAAGACUCAGGUUGGGUGCGGCCGACCAACCUGAGGAUCAAAAUCUCCUCGGAAACUAUAUUGCACAUAAAAUUUUCUGCAUUGGACAAGCAAUGCAGUAGCCCCCGAGACACUGGUCGGGUGGCAACACCAGAUCAGGGGAUCGAUGUGCCCCUUUAAUAUUUGUAAAUAAUAAGCCCGAAGCCAGUAGCCCCCGAGCCUUAAUGCGGGCACUGGUGGCCGAAUUAAGGAUCAAUAUCCAUAGUAAAAUCACAAAUUAUGUGUAAUGAUUCUAUGUAUCCAAGUACUUUAUGUCAUUAAUGCUCGGAUCCGCAUUGUACAAAACUUUGUUGACCGACCAUCGGCUUCCACCUCCUUGGCCAGUAGCCGAGGAGUGUUUGUCAUACUUUAUAAAGCCUUUAUGAGGGCAAAGAUUUACGACAAACAAGGCAAUCUGGCCACACGGUUUUAUAAACAAAGGUACGCAGAGAGAUAUGUUAUAUUACUGUUUAACAGAAGAAAUGUAUUCCAAAGAAAAUAGUCCCGCUAUCGGUUCCUUUCUUUGGGUUGUCAUGCUAAGCAUGAUCAUGAAACCUCAGCUCGAAUGUAAGAGCAAAAUAUCGAGGAUUUAGUUUGGGAGGCCAGUUAAUAGCCCCCGGUAGUGUUCGGCGACAGUCGAGGUCAAGCCGUAAACACUUCGGCCAAUGUUAUGAAUGGCCCGUCAUAGUCAUCGGAUCGCUGACCAGUUUACGCUUAUUGUGACAGUCAGUUUUCAGCUUUCUCCACUAAGGUGCUUAACCAUGUGAGCUGGAAGCACAAUCGCAGUGGUUCUCCCUUUGCACGCCUAGGCGAACAAAACGGAACGUAGGAAGCAAGUGCAGGAGCCGGGCAACCCAACUAUUGACCGAAGACACAAAUCGAAACCGAUGCAUAUAUAGCAAUAUCUGAGAAUGUUUUUGCCGAAUCCCUAAAGGUGUCCGGCGUUGCACUGCGAGACUAAUGCUGGAAAAGCACAAAUAGUUUAAAAGUGCCAAAAAGCUUGGAAAACCAAGAAACGUUAGUAAAAACAUGACGUCCGAACAAGAUCAAGUGUUCGGUGCCAAUCCGAAAAUUGGUCUUAGAAAAAAGAAGUGCUUCUGUCAUCCUUUAACAUGACACAUCCUAUCUCAAGACUUCGAGCGAGUCAGCCUACGGCUUCAACCUCCUAUCCCGAGGGCGGAGUACUUCUCAUUAGGCCAGUUUAGCAAACUAAACUCUAGCGGCUUUGAGAGAGAAAUUAGGCUCCCCGGCUAGUGACCACACACUCGCGUCGAAAAAAGGAGUGAUAAAUAAUAAUAAUAAUAAUAGAACUUUGCGACGACUGAGAAGAAGAACACUUAUUAUAAAACGGCUCAAAUAAACUUAAGAGCCCCCAAGUGACUUGGGUAGAAGAAUGAUUGCAUGUACCGAAGUACUUAUAUCAUAUCUAUGUUCAACCGAACUUUAAACGCGUCUUAACCGACCGUCGGCUUCUCCCUCUUCGGUUAAGGACCGAAAAGUGUUAUGUACUCCAUCGGUCGAGAAUAUCGACGGUGUUUCCAAUAACCAGGCAGUCAGGCCAUAAGGCUGUAACAGACAAAGCGCGCUCAGGGAACUUAUGCUAUAUUACUGCGAAAAGUAAGAAGCAUCUUCGAAGAAAAUAGUACCCCCACCGAUACCUUUCUUCGGUGCUCAUUGUUAUUAUGAGACUUGUGCAAUAGAUUUUUUAUACUCAUGAGUUCCGUUGUGUGCCGACCAUCAUUGAAUAACUAUAAGAGCGCUAGCUUUCGGCUUCACCCAGUCUGAGAUCCGGCUCGGGUGACCCGAUCAUGACAAUCGCAGAGGUGCUCCCUUUACUCCCUAGCCGAACAAUCGGGAACGUAGGGGUAAACACAGGAGCGAGGCAACCUAGCUUGCAAAUCGCUUAAGUCAACGUGGUGCAUAUUGUGGCGUAAUACACGAAUAAGGAACGAAGCCGUACAAGUAUAAUCAUAUGCAAUAGGAAAAGCUUCAUAAAGGAAGCCCCCAAGUAAACGGGGUAUUUGAAUUUAUGCGUCACAAACAAAGUUUGGACAAGGCAAUUUUUUAGAAGCAACUUUUUUCCAAAAAAAUAUAAUGCUUGGUCGAACCGAACGCAAGUUAGAAAUUAAAGCUUUGAGCAUGAAAGCGACUUAGCUGGUUAAUGUGUUCGGUAUUGCUGAUGCGGUCCGAGCUUGAUGUGGGGCAAGGUUCCAUCCCUCAAGCCGGUCCCGAGGUGGCGGAGCGGAGAGCUUGACACGCCGAAGUGGUGACAUAGCACGAUCAAUGCAGACCGGCAGAGUGACGCCGAAGUCCCCGGAUCAUUUUCCUGUGCACAAAAAUAGUGCAAACUGGAGAUAAUAGUAAUAAUGAUAAUUAAAAAAAACGUUGCAUAAUAAAUAAUUUAUGCAAGGUGAGUAAUAAAAGAAAUAUGGCCUGGCGCCGAAGUCAAGUUGAUGCAGGGCGUCGGCGUGAUACGGUAAAGGCGUGGCAAAGCCUGAAUUCGCAGGUCGGUCCGAGCUUCGAGUGCGGCGUUCGCCGGACUAUGUACGGAAACUGACCGAACCACCAUGCGACUGUCAUUAAUGCAGCCACCAUUUGAUAGACCCGUGUACAUAUGACGGACAAACCAGAGUAAUAAUUCCUUGGGAAAAAUGAACCCAAAUAAGCAAAAAAUACUGAGAUUAAUAACACCUGGUUUAUUUGUUGUAGCAAUCCGAAGGAAGGUGAUUCCUAAAAUUGGGACCUGCUCCGCACACCCAUUGCCUGACGAGCGAUAAAACGACGGCAUGGCAAUGCUGGUAAAGGUUGACUCGCCGAGGGAAAGCCCUCGGCCCAGCUAACGUGACGGAGCUGGUCGGCUGGUGACGCCGAAGUGUCCGGAGUAGGUUGAUGAAGAGAUGGCGAAGCCCCCGGUCCAGCCGAGAUGUCGAAGCCUCGAUGUCAGCCGAUGAGUCGAAGUAGGUCGUCAUGAUGGACACCAGCUUGAAGAAGCAAUAGUGCGGCCCUGUCGAUGCAGGUCGUGACGUGGUCGAUGCCGGCUUGAUGAAGCGACCGUGCGGCGAUGCCGGUAUGCCCACUCCGUGUAAUCCGUGGGGCGGCGAUGUUGGUGAUGAUUUAUCCUUCGCGAUGCCGUGCUCUUGUUCGGCUUGCCGAGAUGAUGAUCCAAAGAAGUUGAGCUCGGCUCAACAAAGUGACGCCGUAUCUAGCGCAGGUCGACAGCCGUGGAGUAAUAUUGCCGGACUGGUUUGACACCAGCAUGAUGUUGAAGAUCAUGUUCAAAAGAUCUUACAGUUAGUGAGAUGUGUUCGGGAACAAAACACAAUACCCCAUACAAAACUUCCUUCAAAAGGGAUGUCCGAAAUCCUGUUCAUAAAAAAGAUGAACUCGGGUCAGAUUCGUUUUCGCGCAGAAAACAGAUCCGAAAAGUGAUGCACUAAUCGGAAGGUUCCCGGAGUUUGGACGGUCGGAUCGAGCCGAAAUUUUGAGAGGUGGUAGAUAUAGGAAUUCCGCAGCGGAUCAACGGUUGGAUCUUCCAAAGGACGUCCGAGAUAGAAGCUGGACACCACGCCCUAAAUUCAUCCAAAUUCCUGUCCAGAUUUGACAGGGCUCCGGUAUAUCGUGGAUUGCCAGAGAUUCCUCCAUCGGAACUCGACGAAAUUUUCCAGGAUUGUUGUAGACUCAAUUCCGCACAAUUCCACCAAAGCGAUCGUCAAAGCGAUACUCGAGGAGGUGGUGGUGGUAGAUACGAGUUUGCUGUCCAGAAAAACAGCACAGUCGCUUGAGGGCAAUGUUGACGUUGAGCCCCCGAGCUCCAUAGAUGAUUCCUCCGUGAUCUUGAUAGAGAUCGGAGUUGAUGUUUGAUGAAGGCCCUCAUCCGGACAUGGUGAUCCGAACACGGGGCGCAGUUCUUGGUCGAACCGAGGUGACCAGUCGAGCUGGUGACGAAGAUGCCAAAGUCGCAGUUGAUCUGCAGGCGAGCUAUCGAUCCUUUUGUCGAUCACACAGCAGAACUCUCAAUGAAAGCACCAAUGUCGGUGUCAAUACCUGCGGAUCUCGGGUAAGGGGUCCCGAACUGUGCGUCUAGGAUCGAUGGUAACAGGAGGCAGGGGACACGAUGUUUACCCAGGUUUGGGCCCUCUUGAUGGAGGUAAUACUCUACGUCCUGCUUGAUUGAUAUUGAUGAUAUGAGUAUUACAAGAGUUGAUUUACCACGAGAUCGUAGAGGCUAAACCCUAGAAGCUAGCCUAUGAUAUGAUUGUUGUAUAUAUUGUAUAUCUAUCGACUAGCCUGACCUCGGUUUAUAUAAUGCACCGGAGGCCUAGGAUAACAAGAGUCCUAGCCGAAUACGCCGGUGGGGAGAAGUCCUUGUCUUGAUCGCCAAGUCUUGUGGAAUCUUCCUUGUAUGCGGUAGCCGUCCGAACUGGCCCAUGAGUAUACGGUCACGGGGGUCCUCGGCCCAAUCUAAUAGAUCGGGAGACGACGUGGUGAGUACCCCCUAGUCCAGGACACCGUCAAUCGCUAAAGGCAACUUCUGCAUAAAAGAGACAUAGCUCAGCAACAUUCUAGGCACGCAUUGUAACCCGACCUUUCUUGCGAUUGCGAUGGUAGUAGGCCCUAUUGCUGUGGGCUUCAUGAAUGAUGUAGGUUCCCUUCCAUGGGGAUGAGAACUUGUUCUUCCAUGACUUCUGCUCGAGGUGGAGAUAAUGUUGCUGUUGUUGAACUCACGAGCCUGGACAAGUCGCCUUGGUACUAGCACAACUUCUAAUGGUAGACGGUUAUGUGCUCGAAGGAAAUGAGCCUGGUUCUUCUUUGGCAUUGAUGUUGUCCUUCCUAGAUUCUUCUGUGGCAUCCUCGUCGUGCACGCAAUGGACGAGGAGUUGUACACUAUAUCAGAAGGUACUACGACCUCUGCCCCAUUUACCAUAAAGAAAGGUGUGUAGCUGAUGGAGUGGCUUGGCAUCAUUAAGAGGCUCCAGAGAAAGAAUGGGAGCUCGUCAACCCACUUUCCUUUUGCUUGCAUCAGAAGGGUGAUGAGCCAAGGCUUCAGACCUUGCAUGAUUAGCCAGUUGGCUCGCUCUACCUGUCUGUUGGACUGCAGGUGUGAGAUUGAGUACUAAUCUAUUUGGCUUCUCCAAUUUUGGAAGAAUCCCUCGAAUGUGUCUGCUGUGAAGUCCGUGCCAUUGUCAGUAAUGAUAUUUUGGGGCACGCUCAAUCUAUGUGUAAUGCUAGAGAUGAACUUGGUCGUUGUGUCGGCCUCAACAUUCAUAAUGGUCUUGGCCCCUAUCCACUUUGUCAAUUUGUCAGUGGUGACUAGAAGGAACUUGAAGCUGCCUGGAAUUGUCGCGAGGGGCCCCACCCUAUGCAGCCCCCAUAUAGAGAAUGGCCAUAUCAGAGGUAUUGUUUUGCGGGCGGUGGUCUGCAUGUGUGACUUCUGUGAGUUGUUGACAGCCGACACACCUACGGACGAUCUCUUUAGUGUCACAGGAGGCGUGAGGCUAGAAGAAGCCAUGCCCACCAAUGUUCAUGGGGUUGCGCGAUGACCGCAUGCCCUCGCAUGAAUUUUUUGCAAGAGCUAGCGACCUUCUUCGCCGGGGCAUGGCUGACUAACAUGAUGAUGUUGGGUUGGAAGUAGUGGAGCAACUUGCGGUCUGACAUGAACAUGUAGUACAUGAUUUUCUGGUAGUGUGGGUACUGAUUCUUGCAUGGUGUCAGCACUUCACUGACAUAGUAGACUGAGUGCUAAACCCGCUAUGCCUUACCUUGCUCCUCUCUUUCCAUAGCCAUGACCGCGGUGACAACCUGGGUAGUGGCAGAUAUUAAAUGGCGAGAAUGGCUCUGACUGUGCCAUGGUUGCCAACUGUGGGUUGUAUUGUAGGAGUUUCUUGAGGUGUUCAAAUUUGGCCUUUGCUUAUUCUCUCUAGUAGAACUUGUCAGUUUUUUGCUCUAGGUGGUAUUGUUACUAGCAUCCUAAACUAGUGUAAGAUUUUAGAGCACACAUCUCUUGGCCUCUCUUGACCAUUUCCCCACAUAGUCUUGAUUUUUUGAUUUCAAGUAGUGGCGACGCAUCUGAUCACAUGCAUGGGCAUCCAAGAAACAAUGAUUUCAAUGUCAAGCUAGUGAGGACCGAGAUUUGGUCGGCAAAUCUUCAAUGCUAAGUGCCCUUUUACCCAAAUGUGCCCUUCACAGAAUCCAUAUUUGUUCCAUUGUAGUCUACCUUGUCAUUGGCUUCAUCAUGGCUAGUAUGAAAGCAUAAUUAUUAUUUUUGCUAUCUUACAAAAGGUAAAACUUUUAUGUAUGGAGAAUGUGAGAGUAAAGAGGUGAGCCUGGUAAGCUAAUGGUGGCGAUGUGUAGUUCAAGGGUUCCGUUGCCAUGACAAUAUAAGGGUAAGAUGACAAUGGUGGUUUUAGUGGGGUAAUGGUGGUUUGGGUCUAACUUACUAUAACAUGUGGAAGAUACCACCAAUUACACGAAGAACAUCAUAGAAAUGAUUUGAUACCCAGACCCCGAGUUGUAAUAUUUAGUUUAAUGCUUUUGAUGUCGAUGACGAGUUCGGCACCAAUGUUUAGAUCAUGAAAAUGAUCAUGUAGAGAUAAUAGAAAGGGGGUUUAGAAUCCAAGAGGAUUGCAUAGGAGACUAAGAAUAUGGUACUCUUACAUGAGUUCAGGACCACGAGACGGCUAAUAGCCCUAUUUAUUGCUAGUGUAUAAUGAUAUCCAGAUGUGUUUAAAAUAAGUGCAGGGGAUAUAUUUGAACUACCGACAAGAUCUUACAUUACUGAUUAAUUGAAAUGGUCUCUUCUUUUGGCAUGGGGCUCUAGGUCCUUAUAUAGUGACACCUUCUCCGCUGGCAAGUGUUCAAUCUUCAAUAUGGUAUCACCAUGGUCACUAACUAGGAAAAAUCUCCUAGAUAAGUUAGGAUCAUGUAUUCCCUAAACCUUCAUCCUUUUUCCUCCGAGUGCCUACCUACCAUGACUACUUGCGAUCCUGAGAGACCCCAGGAAUUCCUAUGUUAUGAUCCUUUUCCUCAUACAUUAUACCUCCUUAGUAGUCAUUCGCCGCUUUAUGAACACCCGAGUAUGACAUCAAUCAUGUAAACAUCUAUCAUCAACCAAUCGUUAUUUGAGAAAGAUUGGCAACCCCAUUUCAAUGUCUUCUGUUUCCAUCUAAACAUUCAAAUGAUGUUGGAGAAGAUCACACAUCUACCGACUAGUUAGAAAGCUCUGAUGCUCUCCAAUGACAAGGAGUCAUAUUUGAAAAACACCCAUGUUAUCAGCCAUAGUUAUAAAUGAUCUAGGUGAACCUCUAUCCAUGGUUAAUUAAGUACUAUCGACACCUCUCAUAGGGGAUUUUGGUGCAAAAUAGGGCAUGAUGGCAAGGGCGAGUGGUCUCUAGUUACCUAGGAUACAAUCAUUAAGAAAUCUUGGCCUCCACAAUCCGACAUUUCAUAAUGAUUCCAAGUGUAUCAAAUGCCUUCGGCUACAAUGCUCAAGAGAGGAAUGGAAAACCAAGGUUUCAAUUUAUGCUUCUAAGCUAUUUUAAGUUAUUUUACAUACUUGUUAAGUUCUUCUUAGGAAAGGGAAAAUGAAUUCUUGUAUGGAAAGAUUGUUAGCCAGAUUCCAUAAAUGUGUUGAGUCCAAUGUGUCCAUGUCAUGGUUGAUUAAGCAGUUAUUCAAAGAGUAAUCAAUUACUACUAUGUUGUAGAGUAACACACACACACACACACACACACACACACACACACACAUUACUCAUCCUUGGGAAAGUUGUCCAUCCCAACUAUCAAAUAUUUCUUGCUAUUUUAGAUCUCACUACAUAAUAGGCAUCCCAAAGUGGACAUGUAAGAUGUGAUGAUAUAUAAGUGGAUAUAGAAGAUAUGAUGCUAUAUAAGUGGACCUAAAAUGGUUCAUUAAGCUCAUGAUAGUGCCAUGCCUUCAUUGUGGUACCACAUAAGUAGCGAGGAGCAAUCCUUAUCUGAAAAAACUAGGCACCAUCGAGGCACUAUUCUUCAUGUGGUUCACCUGAAAGGACCCUUGUUGGAUACUUGACUGUCCUGAUGAGAGUAUGGUUUUCCAACUGAAGGGCAUUCUACAAUUGGUGAAGAGCAUCUUGAGACUUCAGAUAUUUGCAUGUGAGUUCUGGUUCAAUGGCUUGAGGGAAUUGAGGGCUAAUUGGCCUUCUCAAAGACAAUGUUGUGAUAUACUCCCUGUAGUGCUGCCUCAACGAGUGCGUUCCAAUGGAGGAAGGCAGGACUUCAACUUGACAGUCUCAUUUAUGCUUCACUACAUAUGGCUUGACUACAAUGCCGUGUCAUCGGUGAUAAAAUGAUAUCAUAACAACUGAGUGGUUAAGCAUUUCUAGGCUAACUUCUUCCUACAGAGAGCUAAACAACAUCGUGGUAUUUCAGAGGAUGUAGGCCCUUUCUUGUAUUUCUAUGGAGUUCAGUAUGUGUGGCAUUUGUGCCCACAUUAACACCACCCUCUUGUAAUAUAUUUCUCUGUAUCUUAAUAUAAUGAUUUGUAGAUCUUGGUGUUUUUGAAAUAAUGUGGAUCUAUAUCCAAAAGGGCUUGCAAAAAAUGUAGCUAACUAUAUACGGCUUAACU